This 484-nucleotide ribosomal RNA is filed under the name uncultured bacterium. RNAcentral describes it as "partial 16S ribosomal RNA". It matches the Rfam family "Bacterial small subunit ribosomal RNA", at positions 28 to 507 of the family's 1533-position model. The record is from RNAcentral.
AUUGAACGCUGGCGGCAUGCUUUACACAUGCAAGUCGAACGGCAGCGCGGGCUUCGGCCUGGCGGCGAGUGGCGAACGGGUGAGUAAUGCAUCGGAACGUGCCCAGUAGUGGGGGAUAGCCCGGCGAAAGACGGAUUAAUACUGCAUAAGACCUGAGGGUGAAAGCGGGGGAGCGAAAGGACUCGCGCUAUUGGAGCGGCCGAUGUCGGAUUAGCUAGUUGGUGGGGUAAAGGCUUACCAAGGAGGCGAUCCGUAGGUGGUCGGAGUGGCCGACCAGCCACACUGGAGCUUGACCACGGCCCAGACUCCUGCGGGAGGCAGCAGUGUGGAAUUUUGGACAAUGGUGGCAACCCUGAUCCAGCCAUGCCGCGUGCGGUAAGAAGGCCUUCGGUUUGUAAACCGCUUUUGUUCGGUAAGAAAUCCUCUGGGCUAAUACCCCGGGGGGAUGACGGUACCGGAAGAAUAAGCACCGGCUAACUACGUG